Oncorhynchus keta (chum salmon) is the source of this 860-nucleotide long non-coding RNA. RefSeq lists it as uncharacterized. The record is from RefSeq and is a predicted model, not a curated record. The transcript has 3 exons. Lineage: Eukaryota; Metazoa; Chordata; Actinopteri; Salmoniformes; Salmonidae.
CAACCAAGGUACCUAACUUACUAGCCAACCAUGGUACCUAACUAACUAGCCAACCAAGGUACCUAACUUACUAGCCAACCAAGGUACCUAACUUACUAGCCAACCAAGGUACCUAACUUACUAGCCAACCAAGGUACCUAACUUACUAGCCAACCAUGGUACCUAACUAACUAGCCAACCUUAGCUAAUGUAGCCAACUAGCCAACCAAGGUACCUAACUAACUAGCCAACCAAGGUACCUAACUUACUAGCCAACCAAGGUACCUAACUUACUAGCCAACCAUGGUACCUAACUUACUAGCCAACCAUGGUACCUAACUAACUAGCCAACCAAGGUACCUAACUAACUAGCCAACCAAGGUACCUAACUUACUAGCCAACCAAGGUACAUAACUAACUAGCCAACCAAGGUACAUAACUAACUAGCCAACCUUAGCUAAUGUAGCCAACUAGCCAACCAAGGUACCUAACUUACUAGCCAGCCAACCAUGGUACCUAACUAACUCGCCAACCAAGGUACCUAUAACUAGCUAGCCAACCAUGGUACCUAACUAGCUAGCCAACCAAGGUACCUAUAACUAGCUAGCCAACCAUGGUACCUAUAACUAGCUAGCCAACCAAGGUACCUAACUAACUCGCCAACCAAGGUACCUAUAACUAGCUAGCCAACCAUGGUACCUAACUAACUCACCAACCAAGGUACCUAUAACUAGCUAGCCAACCAAGGUACCUAACUAACUCGCCAACCAAGGUACCUAACUUACUAGCCAGCCAACCAUGGUACCUAUAACUAGCUAGCCAACCAUGGUACCUAUAACUAGCUAGCCAACCAAGGUACCUAACUAACUAGCCAACCAAGG